ACGGGGGUGGCAAGCGUUGUCCGGAAUUACUAGGCGUAAAGGGCAGGUAGGCGGAUUGGUAAGUUAAUUGUUAAAGGCCCAUGCUCACCAUGGGUAAGGCAGUUGAUACUGUCAGUCUGGAAGCGAGUGGGGGAAGACGGAAUUCCUGGUAGGGCGGUGGAAUGCGUUUGUAUCAGGCGGAACUGCGAAGGUGCAGGUAUUCAACAACGUUUUGCUUGACUCUAGACUGCGAAGCUGAGUGUAUCUAAAAG
This 251-nucleotide ribosomal RNA is filed under the name uncultured prokaryote. RNAcentral's name for it is "partial 16S rRNA". It matches the Rfam family "Bacterial small subunit ribosomal RNA", at positions 525 to 775 of the family's 1533-position model. The record is from RNAcentral.